Long non-coding RNA from Equus caballus (horse), 1291 nucleotides. RefSeq lists it as uncharacterized. The record is from RefSeq and is a predicted model, not a curated record. Lineage: Eukaryota; Metazoa; Chordata; Mammalia; Perissodactyla; Equidae.
UAAUGUACAACUGAAUUUCACAAUGUUACAAAGUAUUAUGACCUCAAUUAAAAAGCAAACAAAAACAACCUACUUCUCCUUCCUAGUCUUUCCUGGCAAAAGAUUCUCAAAAUACUCAAAGAGCUAUAACUGAGGAAGCAUACCCGAGGAGCCUCAGCUGCCUUUGGACCUGAUUUAGAUCCUGGAUCUCGAGGUGUGGGGGAUCUCAGGCAAGGGGGAAUGUAUUUUUGCGUUUGAGAGGAAUAUAAAUCAAUGUGUGGCCAGAGGUUGGCCUGAAGAGGUUUCAAAACACGUCCAUAAUUACCUGACAUUCCUCCCAAUAAGAGGGAGGGUAUCUAUGCCCCUCCUCUUAAAUCUGGGAAGAAAGUGGUAACUGUUGAAACCAACAGAAUAAGGAAGAAAUGAUGCUAUGUGACUUCUGAGGCUAGGUCAUAAAAGGCAGUGAGGUUUCUGCCUUGUUUCCUGGAACACUGUACUUGAGCCCUGAGCCACUGUGUCAGAAGUCCGACUACCCUGAGGCUGCCAUAUGUGAAGAAGCCAGGCCACAUGCCAGUACUCCGCUCAGCAGUUCUGGUCUUCAAGUCAUCCCAAGCCCAGACCGCCUGCCAUUAUCAUGUUCUUCAUCUAUGAGCCUGGGGCCUCUCUGGUGAUUUUGGCUUUUCUCCAACGUUGGGCAACACCUGGUACUGUGCUGCAGAUCCCUGGAAUUUCCUGCUCGCCCAUCUGAACCCUGUCUGCCGCAGCUGCCAGUAAAAGGGUGAGACGUGCUGCCAGCUCUGAUAUGCUAAUAGCUAACCUUCUCAGUACUGGCAUCCUCUUCCUUAUGGAGUGUAACAGAGUCUACAUCUUCCCCUUGAAUAAGGCACUUUGAUUCAUUCUCCCGUAUAUUGGUAUCAGUUUAGCAACAAGUUCAACCAGUUUCCUUGCUUAUCAAUGCUUCCUCAAUCCCAUUUCUUUCUCUUAUGUUAGUUUUUCAUCUCAGAACACAUCCUGUAAAUGAUGUAUCUAAUUAUUUCUUACACAGUCUAGGCAGUAAAAUUUGAGGUGGUGCAUUUUUAAAGUGGCUCUAAUUUGCCCUCAGAUUCUUCCCAAACUGACCUAAUUUUACCUAUAGAAAGUAUGAAACAUACCUCAAAUCUAGUCAUGUCAACUUCUUCACUGCUCUCCAAAUAUGAGAGAUUCAUGCCAUAACCUAGUACCUAUACUUUUGUUUACUACUCCCUUUUUUAAUGCCCUCUCUGCUUAUUCAACAAUUUACAGCUCAAGGUCAAAGAACUAAUUCCAACCACCU